RNAcentral lists this ribosomal RNA (206 nucleotides) under uncultured bacterium. RNAcentral describes it as "partial 16S ribosomal RNA". It matches the Rfam family "Bacterial small subunit ribosomal RNA", at positions 568 to 774 of the family's 1533-position model. The record is from RNAcentral.
CGCGUAGGCGGCUUUAUAAGUCGGGGGUGAAAGCCUGUGGCUCAACCACAGAAUUGCCUUCGAUACUGUAGAGCUUGAGACCGGAAGAGGUAAGUGGAACUGCGAGUGUAGAGGUGAAAUUCGUAGAUAUUCGCAAGAACACCAGUGGCGAAGGCGGCUUACUGGUCCGGUUCUGACGCUGAGGCGCGAAAGCGUGGGAGCAAACA